This 244-nucleotide ribosomal RNA is filed under the name uncultured bacterium. RNAcentral's name for it is "partial 16S ribosomal RNA". It matches the Rfam family "Bacterial small subunit ribosomal RNA", at positions 57 to 305 of the family's 1533-position model. The record is from RNAcentral.
GCAAGUCGAACGGCAGCGCGGGUCAGCCUGGCGGCGAGUGGCGAACGGGUGAGUAAUAUAUCGGAACGUACCCAAGAGUGGGGGAUAACGUAUCGAAAGUUACGCUAAUACCGCAUACGAUCUAAGGAUGAAAGCAGGCGAUCUUCGGACCUUUUGCUCCUGGAGCGGCCGAUAUCUGAUUAGCUAGUUGGUGAGGUAAAGGCUCACCAAGGCCACGAUCAGUAGCUGGUCUGAGAGGACGACC